CCCUUAGAUGUCCUGGGCCGCACGCGCGUUACACUGAUGCAUUCAACGAGCUUAUAACCUUGGCCGAGAGGCCUGGGCAAUCUUGUUAACGUGCAUCGUGAUAGGGAUAGAUUAUUGAAAUUAUUAAUCUUGAACGAGGAAUUCCUAGUAAACGCAGAUCAUCAAUCUGCAUUGAUUACGUCCCUGCCCUUUGUACACACCGCCCGUCGCACCUACCGAUUGGAUGGUCCGGUGAAGCCUCGGGGUUGUGGUUCUUGCCGCUUUAUUGUAGCGUGACCGCGAGAACUUGUCUAAACCUUAUCAUCUAGAGGAAGGUGAAGUCGUAACA
Molecule: ribosomal RNA, 328 nt
Filed under: uncultured eukaryote
Lineage: Eukaryota
Description: partial 18S ribosomal RNA
Rfam family: Eukaryotic small subunit ribosomal RNA
Source: RNAcentral